UACAGAGGGGGCAAGCGUUGUUCGGAAUUACUGGGCGUAAAGGGCGCGUAGGCGGCCUGCUAAGUCGAACGUGAAAUCCCCGGGCUCAACCCGGGAACUGCGUCCGAUACUGGCAGGCUUGAAUUCGGGAGAGGGAUGCGGAAUUCCAGGUGUAGCGGUGAAAUGCGUAGAUAUCUGGAGGAACACAGGUGGCGAAGGCGGCAUCCUGGACCGAAAUUGACGCUGAGGCGCGAAAGCCAGGGGAGCAAACGGG
RNAcentral lists this ribosomal RNA (253 nucleotides) under uncultured bacterium. RNAcentral describes it as "partial 16S ribosomal RNA". It matches the Rfam family "Bacterial small subunit ribosomal RNA", at positions 524 to 776 of the family's 1533-position model. The record is from RNAcentral.